GACGAACGCUGGCGGCGUGCCUAAUACAUGCAAGUCGAACGAGAGCAACCGGUGCUUGCACUGGUCAAUCUAGUGGCGAACGGGUGAGUAACACGUGGGUAACCUGCCCAUCAGAGGGGGAUAACAUCCGGAAACGGAUGCUAAAGCCGCAUAGGUCUUCGAACCGCAUGGUUUGAAGAGGAAAAGAGGCGCAAGCUUCUGCUGAUGGAUGGACCCGCGGUGCAUUAGCUAGUUGGUGAGGUAACGGCUCACCAAGGCCGUGAUGCAUAGCCGACCUGAGAGGGUGAUCGGCCACAUUGGGACUGAGACACGGCCCAAACUCCUACGGGAGGCAGCAGUAGGGAAUCUUCCGCAAUGGACGCAAGUCUGACGGAGCAACGCCGCGUGAGUGAAGAAGGUUUUCGGAUCGUAAAACUCUGUUGUUAGAGAAGAACAAGUGCUAGAGUAACUGUUAGCGCCUUGACGGUAUCUAACCAGAAAGCCACGGCUAACUACGUG
This 498-nucleotide ribosomal RNA is filed under the name uncultured bacterium. RNAcentral describes it as "partial 16S ribosomal RNA". It matches the Rfam family "Bacterial small subunit ribosomal RNA", at positions 28 to 507 of the family's 1533-position model. The record is from RNAcentral.